RNAcentral lists this ribosomal RNA (157 nucleotides) under uncultured bacterium. RNAcentral's name for it is "partial 16S ribosomal RNA". It matches the Rfam family "Bacterial small subunit ribosomal RNA", at positions 1345 to 1500 of the family's 1533-position model. The record is from RNAcentral.
CAGAUCAGCAUGCUGCGGUGAGUACGUUCCCGGGUCUUGUACACACCGCCCGUCCACACCACGAGAGUUUACAACACCCGAAGUCAGUGGCCUAACCGCAAGGAGGGAGCUGCCUAAGGUGGGGUAGAUGAUUGGGGUGAAGUCGUAACAAGGUAUC